Long non-coding RNA from Agrilus planipennis (emerald ash borer), 673 nucleotides. RefSeq lists it as uncharacterized. The record is from RefSeq and is a predicted model, not a curated record. Lineage: Eukaryota; Metazoa; Arthropoda; Insecta; Coleoptera; Buprestidae. The transcript is spliced from 3 exons.
GUGCACUUUAUUAAAUAUAAAGAACAGUAGAAACUAAAUUUAACGAAAACAAUGUUUGUAUUUUAGGAAAUAACUGAGAACAAAAGACACCAAAGCAGGCGUUGUGUGUACGAAAUUCUAAAACAAAUGGCAUUGGGAAAAGUUUUGACUUAUGCAAUAUUUUAUUUUUCCACGGUAAAUUGGGGUUAAUGUACCUAUGGAGCUUAUACGCAUUUACCUAAAUUAAAAAGGUCAUUAGUCACCGUGCAGGAACGAAGUUUAACGAUGAAAGCUAUUUCUUAGUAAGCGCAAGAAUGCAAAAUGAACAUUGCGAUACUUAGGAAUUUUGGUUAUUUGAAACUGUUUCGAAAGUACGAAUGUGAAUGCAAAUACAUCGACGAAAACACACAUGAUGGUUUUAAAGAUGGACAAAGACACUUAUAAAUGAAGAGAGGGAACAGAAACCAAGAAUUUUACAUACCAUUUAGACUGGAAUGAAUAGUGAAAUUACAUAGAAAAUGAAUACCAUAUUAUUUUUUGAGAAUAUUGUGAAAAGAAAAGUAUAAUAAUAAUGAACAUUCUAAGUAUUAGAAAGGUUUCUGUUUUUGAAGAUGUUAUUUAACAAUAAUUCUAGAAAUUCUAAUUUUUAUGUAUGAUAUGACUCUUACCGAUUAGAUGACUGACUAAACCCCAA